RNAcentral lists this unclassified non-coding RNA (391 nucleotides) under soil metagenome. Its description in RNAcentral is "partial contains 5.8S ribosomal RNA, internal transcribed spacer 2, and large subunit ribosomal RNA". The stretch from base 1 to 122 matches the Rfam family "5.8S ribosomal RNA", at positions 35 to 154 of the family's 154-position model. The record is from RNAcentral.
GAUGAAGAACGUAGCGAAAUGCGAUACUUGGUGUGAAUUGCAGAAUCCCGUGAACCAUCGAGUCUUUGAACGCAAGUUGCGCCCGAAGCCAUUAGGCCGAGGGCACGCCUGCCUGGGCGUCACACGUCGUUGCCCCCCCAUCUACUCCUUCGGGAUUGCGGGGGGCGGAUGAUGGCCUCCCGUGCGCCUCGCCGCGCGGUUGGCAUAAAUGCCAAGUCCUCGGCGACGCACGCCACGACAAUCGGUGGUUGCGAAACCUCGGUUGCCCGUCGUGUGCGGUCGUCGCGCAUCGAGGGCUCGAAAAAAUUGCCGGGUUCCGGCUCGGCUUUCAACGCGACCCCAGGUCAGGCGGGGUUACCCGCUGAAUUUAAGCAUAUCAAUAAGCGGAGGG